Molecule: long non-coding RNA, 3204 nt
Filed under: Canis lupus familiaris (dog)
Lineage: Eukaryota; Metazoa; Chordata; Mammalia; Carnivora; Canidae
Description: lncRNA (ENSCAFG00040024525.1)
Source: RNAcentral
GUUUAUUGAAAGCCAGCGGAAUACUCCAUUUCACCCGCUUCAGUGGGAAACGUUUCGCAGAAAAACACAAGAAGGGGUCUUCAUUCCUGGACGCCCCGUGAUGUGUCCCCUCCGGCUCUCCGGAAGCUUCUACAGCCAGGGCUUUGGCGACCUGCCCACGGAGCCCCAGGACCCGAGCCCCGCGGAAUUCUCGGGGGUCCGCGCGGCCGCCGGCGGUCAGCGGCUUUCAACGCUGGGCUCGGGCUCAGGCCUCUCCUUUUCCACGGGGGUUCACCGCAUCGUCUGCCCCGAGUCCCGGGCCGGCUUCCCCGCUGGCCCCGCCUGAGGACGGUCGCCGUGACGCACUGUCUUCACCUGCUGAUUCGUCCCUUCUGGAGGCUCAUGGCCUCCCCCGGCCUGAGGCUGACGUCUGGGCUCAGGACGGUGUCCCACGGCUCCAGAGGGGAUUCCGCGCGUUGACCAACAGUCUGGACAUUCAUACUCACCUGCCCGAGUUUCUGGUGCGUCUGCAGGAAACGAGAGACUCUGUGUCUUUGCCUCGUGAGCUCCGUCUGCAGCCCUGGGGCUCUGAGAACAUGACAGGCGCCCCCGUGAGUCGCCGGCACCCGUGGUCGCUGGGGCCCCGGCCGCUGAGCCGUGGGGAUGCACAUCCACGGAUGGGGAGGGAGGCCCAGGCAGCAGGGAGUGGGCAGGGGGGCGGCGGGUGAGCGCCUGCGUCAGGCCGGUGCAGCCCGGGGAGCGCUGGCCACGGGGACUCAGACGCCCCCGGCGUGUGCUUCAUGCAGGUUCUGGCUCCGUCUCGUCCCGACUGUGUGGCCCUGGGCAGGUCACUCGACCUGAGCUCUGGGGCACUGCACACGGUCAAGCGAGGCCCCGGGCCCAGGGACGGGAUGGGACGGGGGUGACGGGGACAUCUGCAGGCCCCUCCUCCGGGCAGAAGCUUUUCUGUUUUCCAGUUUCCAACCCAGGGCUGUGGAGCGUGUGCAGGGUGUGCUGAGCGCGAUCCCCGGGCGCCCCCAGGCCUCCUGGGUCACGUGCCUUCCACCGAGCUCGGGCUGGGCCGCGGCUGCAGGGGCGCCCUCUGCUCCCCAGGGGUGGGGUCUCCGAGCUGGGCCGCCUGUGAGGUCAUCGUGGGGCGCGGGGGGCCCUUUCUUGCACCUUCUCGCUCAGACUUCUGGGUAAGUUCUGGGGAAGGAGCAGGUUUUCCGGGUGGUGCUUCUUUUUCGGGGUGUGUGGGUGAGGGGAGGCUCGGCCUGCCCGAGGUGACCCUCAGGCCUGUUGUCCGUGAGUCCUGGGGUUGGGGAGGGGACACCUGGGGACAGCUGGGAGCAGGGCGGGAGCACAGGCCCUGGCUUCCGUGCAGGGUGUGUGGCAGGCAGACCUGUGGGUCCUUGUCACGGCCCCGAGGCCCCGAGGUGCACGUGGUGACAGACCGUCCUCACUCGACUGCUCAACUCCCGGGACCUGGCUCCUGGGCUCGGAGCUUCCCUCCAAACCGUCCGGUUUCAGCGAGCGUCCUGCUGGCCCGCGAGGCAGGAGCCCGGGGCCUGGCAGCUGACCGGCCACCCCGAUGCCUCCUGCGGGGAUCCCAGGGGCCCCUGCUCCUGGCUCUUGCUCCCGCCGUGUCUGAGAGCAGCGCAGGGCGGAGGCCGCGGCAGUGCAGGCUCCUCCGUGUCAGGCGGCUGUGGGGCAGGUGUGGGCCCCGCGCUGAGCGCAGCGUGGACGUGGGCGCGGCCCUCGGGGAGGACCUUUCUCCAGCAGUGAGACCCGAGCCAGCCCCUGACUGAACACAGGAGGGAGCCGGGAAGAUGGUGGCAGCGCACCCAGCGCAGGACCUCGCCCACGACAGGCCCGACCCCUGCAACGAGACCCAGGCCCCAGCAGCGGAGACCCCGGCCGCUGCAGUGGAGACCCCGGCCCCUGCGGAGACCCAGCACAUCUGAGGCCCAGGAGACAGACGGUCUCACGCUUGUCCUGGUUCGCCUCCCACUGGGGACCACUCUGCCCUCGGCCAGCACAUGUGCUCAGGGUGGCCCUGGGCACCUCCCGCCUCCGGCCCACCAUGAGCCUCACCUCGUCCGUCCUUGGUCCCUGGUGCCGAGGAGCAAGGGCAGCCGAGCAGCAGCCGAGCAGGGCCUGGGUGUGCCCCCCCCCCCCCCGUCUUUCCCUUGUUUCUUGCCCACGGCUACGGAUGAGUUUCUAGGGUUUACGGAGGGAUGAGGACACACCCUGAGCUGUACUCGCUGGAACCGCGGGGAUCCGCGGGGGGAGCAGCAGGGCAGUGGGCAGGGCCACCCCGUGUGCCCGCGCGGGGGCAGUGAGGACACACCUCAGGGCCCAGCCCUCAGAUGAGGGCUCCCUGGGAAGGAAGGCAGUAAAGGCCGGAGAAGUUGUACUUUGCUGUUUCACGUUGAUCGCGGGCGCAGGUUGCAGAAGUGGAGACGUUAACCUGGAUGAAACAGAAACCCUUGCAGGUGAAUUUCCGAGCCAGCCCUGCAGCGGGGGUGACCCUCGGCUGCCGUGAUGUCCCCGAGUGGCCCCGUAGCAGAGCCUGUGUCACGGGUGACCCCGGGCCAGCUGCAGGGGGGGGGUCAGGCCCCCAGUAGCCCCGGGCCAGGCUGCGGCCCCGCCCAUGAGGGGGGCUGCGGGGCUGAGGCAUCCUCCUGGUGGGGUGCCGUCCGGCUGGCUUCUGAACCGGCUGUCGGUGGUGGGUCCCGUGUUCGCGAGCUCCUCACCACGUUCCCCCAAAACCAGCGUCCCUGCGUGCGGUGUGGCCCAGCGACACGUGCUGCGGCAACGCCAGCCCCCGGGGGCAGAGCCAGGUCCGGGGGGACCUCAGGUCCCGGGGGGCUCACACCUGGCCUGGACACUCAGCCUGAGGUGGCGUCUGCCGUGGGACGUGAUGCGGGGACGUGUUUGGUAUGGGGGUGACCUGCGGUGCCCACUGCGAUGUCUGUGUCCUCGAGCCCCACUGUCCCCGGCGCCGCAUUCCCUGGGCCUCCCGCACACAGGGCCCUGUGGGUUUUCUCCGUCUGUUCUCUGCUCCUGACCACCGACCUCGCAGCCCAGGGCGGGGGCUGCACAACCUGGGGGGGUCGUGUGGGCGCAGCCACCCGCAGGUACCAUCUGCGGGGGCUCAGCCCUCACGGCCGGUCUGCUCACUCUCCACUGGACUGGGGCUGGGGCUCCAUGGAGGGGGGUGCA